GUCUCAAUAGCGCAGCAGGUAGCGCGUCGGUCUCAUAAUCCGAAGGUCGUGAGUUCGAACCUCACUUGAGACA
This 73-nucleotide transfer RNA is filed under the name Amorphochlora amoebiformis. Its description in RNAcentral is "tRNA-Met". It matches the Rfam family "tRNA". Rfam says of the family: Transfer RNA (tRNA) molecules are approximately 80 nucleotides in length. Their secondary structure includes four short double-helical elements and three loops (D, anti-codon, and T loops). Lineage: Eukaryota; Cercozoa; Chlorarachniophyceae. The record is from RNAcentral.